RNAcentral lists this long non-coding RNA (514 nucleotides) under Monodelphis domestica (gray short-tailed opossum). Its description in RNAcentral is "lncRNA (ENSMODG00000039406.1)". Lineage: Eukaryota; Metazoa; Chordata; Mammalia; Didelphimorphia; Didelphidae. The record is from RNAcentral.
CCUGUGGAUGUGCUAGUUAGAUUAGCAGAGCUCCUCUCUCCCUCCUUUCUUCCAUUCCUCUUUCUUUCUUUCUUUCUUUCUUUCUUCUUUCUUUCUUCUUUCUUCUUCUUUCUUUCUUUCUUUCUCUCUCUCUCUCUUUCUUUCUUUCUUUCUUUCUUUCUUUCUUUCUUUCUUUCUUUCUUUCUUUCUUUCUUUCUUUCUUUCUUUCUUUCUUUCUUUCUUUCUUUCUUUCUUUCUGUCUUUCUUUCUUUCUCCCUUAUCUUCUAUCUUGGAAUCAAUACUCUGUAUUGGUUCUAAGGCAGAAGAGUGGUAAGGGCUAGACAAUGGAGGUUAAGUGACUUGCCCAGGGUCAUACAGCUGGGAUGUGUCUGAGGCCAUCUUACACAUUUCUUAAUGCAGUCUAGGAUCACAUUAGCUUUUUUGACUACUACAUUAGACCAUUGACUCAUCAUAUUGAACUUACAGUCCACUAAAACCCCCCUAUCUUUUCCAGAACAAUGGUGGGCUGUCCAUG